Molecule: long non-coding RNA, 859 nt
Filed under: Olea europaea subsp. europaea
Lineage: Eukaryota; Viridiplantae; Streptophyta; Magnoliopsida; Lamiales; Oleaceae
Source: RNAcentral
AAAUUCAGCAUUUGCUUCUUUAUAAUUUAAAUUCAAACUGUUUGAAAACAUUAUUUAAGAAUAGACCGAUUGUUGUUAUUGUUAAUUUUAGUAUCACAAGUAGAAGAAAUGGUUGCAUAUGACUAAAUCUCAAGAAUGUUUUACAAUAUAAAAUUAACAACCACCACAACAAAAAUAGUAAUAAUACAUAUUACGAACAAUAACAAUUUCUCAACUCAGUGCUCUAAGUGGAAGAAGAUGUUGCAUACUCGUAGUUUAUAGUCACCCUAGAUAUGCUACCUUGUACAAGAAUGUCCUAACGUGAAUUGCAUACUUGAGUUUUUCCGUUUUAGAGUAUAAUAAAGAAUUGAGAAAUUAUUUGAAAAAGUCUUACUACACAUGAUUAAAUUGUGCCUAUGGUUAUCACUCUACGUGAUUAAAUUGUGCCUAUGGUUAACUUUCAUCUUGGAUUAGUUAGGUAGUCUUAUCGUGAAGCAUGUCUUGUAAGCAUUUUGUAUGCAGCAAUAUUGACGAACGUCACUUUGUGGAGACUUAAGAUUUUAUAGUGCAAGUGUACAUUUUUUUUUUUUAGUAAAAUCUAUAAGUUGAGUAUCGAGUUAGAAUAUGGUUUAUAGGUAGUCAUAUUAACAAGUAUUUUUUAAGAAGGAAUUAGCAUAAAACCUUCCCACUACUUGCAUCGUUCAUAUCGUUUCAAACUUAACAUUUGCAUUCUUAUUUCAAUAUUUUCUUGCUGAGUUGGUCACUUUCGUCUCCUUCCAUCAAUUCUUUCAAUUAAAUAAGAAUAAUUAGUGUAAAAUAUCCUUAUCAUUUGCCUUCGUUAUGUAAAUCAUCCAUAUAUUUUCAAUUUUGGCAUUUGAAC